GACAUAGUUUAACUAAAACACUAGAUUGUGAUUCUAAAAAUAGGGGUUAAAACCCCUUUGUCCACC
RNAcentral lists this transfer RNA (66 nucleotides) under Alepocephalus bairdii. RNAcentral's name for it is "tRNA-His". It matches the Rfam family "tRNA". Rfam says of the family: Transfer RNA (tRNA) molecules are approximately 80 nucleotides in length. The record is from RNAcentral. Lineage: Eukaryota; Metazoa; Chordata; Actinopteri; Alepocephaliformes; Alepocephalidae.